Lates calcarifer (barramundi perch) is the source of this 392-nucleotide long non-coding RNA. RefSeq lists it as uncharacterized. The transcript is spliced from 2 exons. The record is from RefSeq and is a predicted model, not a curated record. NCBI's taxonomy places the organism in Eukaryota, Metazoa, Chordata, Actinopteri, Centropomidae.
UUUGCCAACUCUUCUGCGAGUGUAAUGGCUGGCGUGAAGCUGCCACUCGCAAAUCGUCGGAAAUCUAUCGCCUGAGGACGGCUUGGUGGAAGAAUAACUGUGUUUACGCCCUGUUCCCGUCUUGUUGACCAUUUAUGAAGACACCUUUCUGACAGAGGAGCACUUAAGGCCGGAGGAAGGAGGACUUUUCCUAUGGGAGUGAACGAUAAGAAAAUCCGCAGGAGAUGCCAGGGAACCCAGCUUCACUUAGCAGGAAUCCAGUCAUAAAGCAAAGCACUGGGCAGACUGAGUGUGGAUCAACCAUCAGAUAGACUGCUAGCAUUGCUAUAAGUAUUCUAUGCAAUGUAUUACAUAUUUCUAUUGAUUAAAGUUUGGUACUAUUGGAUUAAAUA